UGAGGAAUAUUGGUCAAUGGGCGGAAGCCUGAACCAGCCAUGCCGCGUGAAGGACUAAGGCCCUACGGGUCGUAAACUUCUUUAGACGCAGAGCAAUAAGGUCCACGCGUGGACCGAUGAGAGUAUGCGUAGAAUAAGCAUCGGCUAACUCCGUGCCAGCAGCCGCGGUAAUACGGGGGAUGCGAGCGUUAUCCGGAUUCAUUGGGUUUAAAGGGUGCGUAGGCGGCCGAGUAAGUCAGCGGUGAAAGACCGGGGCUCAACCCUGGAAGUGCCGUUGAUACUGUUUGGCUGGAAUGAUCCCGCCGCGGGAGGAAUGAGUGGUGUAGCGGUGAAAUGCAUAGAUAUCACUCGAA
Molecule: ribosomal RNA, 353 nt
Filed under: uncultured bacterium
Lineage: Bacteria
Description: bacterial SSU rRNA
Rfam family: Bacterial small subunit ribosomal RNA
Source: RNAcentral